This 292-nucleotide ribosomal RNA is filed under the name uncultured bacterium. Its description in RNAcentral is "partial 16S ribosomal RNA". It matches the Rfam family "Bacterial small subunit ribosomal RNA", at positions 505 to 796 of the family's 1533-position model. The record is from RNAcentral.
GUGCCAGCAGCCGCGGUAAUACGUAGGGGGCAAGCGUUGUCCGGAUUUAUUGGGCGUAAAGAGCUCGUAGGCGGUUCCGUAAGUCGGAUGUGAAAAAUCUGGGCUCAACCCAGUGGAGCACCCGAUACUGCGGUGACUCGAGUCCGGUAGGGGAGUGUGGAAUUCCUGGUGUAGCGGUGAAAUGCGCAGAUAUCAGGAGGAACACCGACGGCGAAGGCAGCACUCUGGGCCGGUACUGACGCUGAGGAGCGAAAGCAUGGGGAGCGAACAGGAUUAGAAACCCCCGUAGUCC